GUCUACGUCCAUGCCACCCUGAACAAGCCCGAUCCCAUCUGAUCUCAGAAGCUAAGCAGGGUCAGGCCUGGUUAGUACUUGGAUGGGAGACCACCCAGGAAGACCAGGUGCUGUAAGAG
This 119-nucleotide ribosomal RNA is filed under the name Pteropus alecto (black flying fox). Lineage: Eukaryota; Metazoa; Chordata; Mammalia; Chiroptera; Pteropodidae. The record is from RNAcentral.